This 253-nucleotide ribosomal RNA is filed under the name uncultured bacterium. RNAcentral describes it as "partial 16S ribosomal RNA". It matches the Rfam family "Bacterial small subunit ribosomal RNA", at positions 524 to 776 of the family's 1533-position model. The record is from RNAcentral.
UACGUAGGGUGCAAGCGUUAAUCGGAAUUACUGGGCGUAAAGCGUGCGCAGGCGGUUUUGUAAGACUGGUGUGAAAUCCCCGGGCUUAACCUGGGAAUGGCGAUGGUGACUGCAAGGCUAGAGUUUGGCAGAGGGGGGUAGAAUUCCACGUGUAGCAGUGAAAUGCGUAGAGAUGUGGAGGAACACCGAUGGCGAAGGCAGCCCCCUGGGUCAAAACUGACGCUCAUGCACGAAAGCGUGGGGAGCAAACAGG